RNAcentral lists this ribosomal RNA (468 nucleotides) under uncultured bacterium. Its description in RNAcentral is "partial 16S ribosomal RNA". It matches the Rfam family "Bacterial small subunit ribosomal RNA", at positions 28 to 507 of the family's 1533-position model. The record is from RNAcentral.
GACGAACGCUGGCGGCGUGCUUAACACAUGCAAGUCGAACGGAAAGGCCCUGCUUUUGUGGGGUGUUCGAGUGGCGAACGGGUGAGUAACACGUGAGUGAGCUGCCCUUGACUUGGGGAUAACUUCAGGAAACUGGGGCUAAUACCGGAGAGGAGCUCCUGCUGCAUGGUGGGGGUGGGCUAGGUUCGGCGGUUGGGGAUGGACUCGCGGCUGAUCAGCGUGUGGGUGGGGGAGUGCCUUACCAAGGCGUGGACGGCUAGACGGCCUGGGAGGGUGACCGCCGACAUUGGGACUACGGUACGGCCCAGUCUCCUACGGGAGGCAGCAGUGGGGAAUCUUGCACAGUGGGCGGGAGCCUGAUACAGCAACGCCGCGUGCGGGAUGACGGCCUUCGGGUUGUAAACCGCUUUCGCCUGUGAUGAAGCGUGAGUGACGGUAAUGGGUAAAGAAGCACCGGCUAACUACGUG